Molecule: ribosomal RNA, 392 nt
Filed under: uncultured bacterium
Lineage: Bacteria
Description: bacterial SSU rRNA
Rfam family: Bacterial small subunit ribosomal RNA
Source: RNAcentral
GAUGAACGCUAGCGGCAGGCCUAAUACAUGCAAGUCGAACGGUAAGGCCCUUUCGGGGGUACACGAGUGGCGGACGGGUGCGUAACGCGUAUGCAACAUGCCUUCCAGCGGGGGAGUAUACCAGGGAAACUUGGCGCAAUACCCCAUAGAAUUACGGGACCGCAUGGUCUUGUGAUUAAAACUACCGGUGCUGGGAGAUUGGCAUGCGUGACAUUAGCUAGUUGGCGGGGUAACGGCCCACCAAGGCGACGAUGUCUAGCUGGUCUGAGAGGAUGAUCAGCCACACUGGGACUGAGACACGGCCCAGACUCCUACGGGAGGCAGCAGUAGGGAAUAUUGGACAAUGGGGGGAACCCGUCGAUCCAGCCAUGCCGCGUGAGGGAAGAAGGUCC